Molecule: long non-coding RNA, 395 nt
Organism: Amphiprion ocellaris (clown anemonefish)
Lineage: Eukaryota; Metazoa; Chordata; Actinopteri; Pomacentridae
Source: Ensembl
UAUAGAAGGAGUCACAGUACCACUAAUCCACUAAUCAGGAGGUCUAGGAGGAGUCAUAGUACCACUAAUCAGGAGGUCUAUAAGGAGUCAUAGUACCACUAAUCAGGAGGUAUAGAAGGAGUCAUAGUACAUAGCUCAGAUGGAGUCCAGAUGUUUGGUGUGAACCUGACCAGGACUACCACAGUGGAUGCAUAGUCCUGACGGUGAAGCACGGAGGUGGGAGUGUGAUGACAAAUGAGCUGAUACUCAAACAAAGUUUUAAAAAAGUAGUUUCUGUCAUUUUAUUUUGGAUGAAUUGUGAAGAAUUUAGUGAAAACACUGAUGAAAUAUGAUCUGACUUUAGAAGGAUGGAAUGUUUGAUCUUUUUUUCUUGUAUUUUUCCAGUUAAUUACCCC